UACGGGGGGGGCAAGCGUUGUUCGGAAUUACUGGGCGUAAAGGGUUCGUAGGCGGUGCGGCAAGUCGGAAGUGGAAUCUCCAGGCUCAACUUGGAGGCUGCUCCCGAAACUGCCGUGCUAGAGUGCGGGAGAGGCCAGUGGAAUUGCAGGUGUAGCGGUGAAAUGCGUAGAUAUCUGCAGGAACACCCGUGGCGAAGGCGGCUGGCUGGACCGCAACUGACGCUGAGGAACGAAAGCUAGGGGAGCAAACAGG
This 253-nucleotide ribosomal RNA is filed under the name uncultured bacterium. Its description in RNAcentral is "partial 16S ribosomal RNA". It matches the Rfam family "Bacterial small subunit ribosomal RNA", at positions 524 to 776 of the family's 1533-position model. The record is from RNAcentral.